UUGUUUGAACCGCAUGGUUCAGACAUAAAAGGUGGCUUCGGCUACCACUUACAGAUGGACCCGCGGCGCAUUAGCUAGUUGGUGAGGUAACGGCUCACCAAGGCGACGAUGCGUAGCCGACCUGAGAGGGUGAUCGGCCACACUGGGACUGAGACACGGCCCAGACUCCUACGGGAGGCAGCAGUAGGGAAUCUUCCGCAAUGGACGAAAGUCUGACGGAGCAACGCCGCGU
This 232-nucleotide ribosomal RNA is filed under the name Bacillus velezensis. RNAcentral's name for it is "partial 16S ribosomal RNA". It matches the Rfam family "Bacterial small subunit ribosomal RNA", at positions 173 to 402 of the family's 1533-position model. RNAcentral also lists the same sequence under 1 other name. Lineage: Bacteria; Bacillati; Bacillota; Bacilli; Caryophanales; Bacillaceae. The record is from RNAcentral.